RNAcentral lists this ribosomal RNA (429 nucleotides) under Chloroflexota bacterium. RNAcentral's name for it is "Chloroflexi bacterium partial 16S ribosomal RNA". It matches the Rfam family "Bacterial small subunit ribosomal RNA", at positions 355 to 776 of the family's 1533-position model. The record is from RNAcentral. Lineage: Bacteria; Bacillati; Chloroflexota.
UGGGGAAUAUUGCACAAUGGGCGCAAGCCUGAUGCAGCCAUGCCGCGUGUAUGAAGAAGGCCUUCGGGUUGUAAAGUACUUUCAGCGGGGAGGAAGGGAGUAAAGUUAAUACCUUUGCUCAUUGACGUUACCCGCAGAAGAAGCACCGGCUAACUCCGUGCCAGCAGCCGCGGUAAUACGGAGGGUGCAAGCGUUAAUCGGAAUUACUGGGCGUAAAGCGCACGCAGGCGGUCUGUCAAGUCGGAUGUGAAAUCCCCGGGCUCAACCUGGGAACUGCAUUCGAAACUGGCAGGCUAGAGUCUUGUAGAGGGGGGUAGAAGUCCAGGUGUAGCGGUGAAAUGCGUAGAGAUCUGGAGGAAUACCGGUGGCGAAGGCGGCCCCCUGGACAAAGACUGACGCUCAGGUGCGAAAGCGUGGGGAGCAAACAGG